This 212-nucleotide long non-coding RNA is filed under the name Elaeis guineensis (African oil palm). Its description in RNAcentral is "long non-coding RNA (EGUI_LNC064723)". The record is from RNAcentral. Lineage: Eukaryota; Viridiplantae; Streptophyta; Magnoliopsida; Arecales; Arecaceae.
GACGCUGCCAUCGGGAGAUAAAGGCGUCAAAGCGCAUCUCAUUGCAUAGAGCAAAAAUUAAAAAAAAAGAGAGCAGAGUGGAGAAGCCCUCCAAGAGGAGGAACUCAAUUUUAUUGAUUAAAUGUUUCUUAAAGACAGGAGGAAAAGGAAAAAUUACAAUGAAAGAAAAAUACAAGGUCAGAGGUCUCAGACCUCUGGGAUAGGAGUGGGGG